This 253-nucleotide ribosomal RNA is filed under the name uncultured bacterium. RNAcentral describes it as "partial 16S ribosomal RNA". It matches the Rfam family "Bacterial small subunit ribosomal RNA", at positions 524 to 776 of the family's 1533-position model. The record is from RNAcentral.
UACAGAGGCCUCGAGCGUUGCGCGGAAUCACUGGGCGUAAAGAGCGCGCAGGCGGUCGUUCAAGUCGCGUGUGAAAGCCCCCGGCUCAACUGGGGAGGGUCACGCGAUACUGAUCGACUCGAAGGCAGGAGAGGGUAGUGGAAUUCCCGGUGUAGUGGUGAAAUGCGUAGAUAUCGGGAGGAACACCAGUGGCGAAGGCGACUACCUGGCCUGUUCUUGACGCUGAGGCGCGAAAGCUAGGGGAGCAAACGAG